Bombus pyrosoma is the source of this 502-nucleotide long non-coding RNA. RefSeq lists it as uncharacterized. The record is from RefSeq and is a predicted model, not a curated record. Lineage: Eukaryota; Metazoa; Arthropoda; Insecta; Hymenoptera; Apidae. The transcript has 3 exons.
AUUUUAAAAAUAUUUAAAUAAAACGCCAUUUCCUUUUCAUAUUAAGCAGUGCUGGUUUUUAUGCAGUUGCAUGGGUUAUCUGGUUAUCUGUAGUUGGAAGAAUGUUUCUGAUGUGAUAUUUAUAUAAAUAAAUCGUAUGUGCUUGAUGUUGGAUGAUGUAUGACUUACCACUUGUGUGUACUUACUCUGCUACAUCUCGGAUAUCUUUUUGGAAAGUCACUGAAUCGAUCACAUAAACAAGACCUUUUGCGGAUAACUUGAAUUGAUCAAAAAAUUUAUAACGCAGGCGUUCAUGUCCAGGUAUAUCAACAAUCUUUAAGGACCGCUAAAUAAAUUAACACUUUAGAGGCCUAUGUUUCUGAUGUGUGUGUCUUAACAAAUUUAGAACAAAGUAGACGUGCAUAUAUCAGUGUUUUACCAGCAUCACUAAGUCCAGUUAAUAAUAUACUGUUUCCUAUAGACCUUCUCCUGUGCCAUAUGGCAAAUAACACUAAGCAAAAGA